Molecule: long non-coding RNA, 707 nt
Organism: Oncorhynchus tshawytscha (Chinook salmon)
Lineage: Eukaryota; Metazoa; Chordata; Actinopteri; Salmoniformes; Salmonidae
Exons: 3
Source: RefSeq, a predicted model, not a curated record
GUGACGCAAAUGACAAAGAAGCAGCAUACACACAAUUUGCUGCCCUAAUGUUGGUUGUCUCGUUCUGUGUGGUUGGUCACUGAGCCAGCUCAGGGGUAGGGAAUGCAUCAGGUCUAUUAAGUCCUGCUAGUUGGCAAGGGUUUCCUGCAAUCACACACCAAGACCAGUUGUGUGUCCUGCCUUGGGCUGGGAAAGAGGGUGGCUGAUGUGGCCGAAAGCUAUGUACUGGAGAAGCCUGCCUUCAAUUCAGCAAAUUACUGUAGUCACAUUACUUCACAUAAGAACCACUUGAGGUGAUUCUGCUAGCUAGAUAGACAAGCAAUUCUGCCUGCAUUAGCAAGAAAGGAAAUUCACUUGCAAACUCUUCAAAUGAAUGGCAUCAUGGAGAAGAGAAUUGGGAUUCAUAUUCAUAUUUCCAGCACAGUGUUUCUCUUUCAGGAGAGAUAUAUUUUAAAUUAAAGCUCUCCUCUCCUCCGCUGCUAUCUGUCAAACCUUUAUGUGAUAGUCAUGAGCAUGCAUAUCAUAACAGUUCCUGCAACCAUGUCUGCUUUGAAGCAGAGCCUUGAGAAACUCUUGCAGAGAAAUAAUGAGUACAUUCUUUCCAUUGGGAGGGUUAUGACACUUGCCCUAUGUAGUUGAAAUCAAAUCAAAUUAAUUUAUAUAGCCCUUCUUACAUCAGCUGAGUGCUGUACAGAAACCCAGCCUAA